Molecule: ribosomal RNA, 509 nt
Filed under: Photiomantis planicephala
Lineage: Eukaryota; Metazoa; Arthropoda; Insecta; Mantodea; Mantidae
Description: partial 16S ribosomal RNA
Rfam family: Bacterial large subunit ribosomal RNA
Source: RNAcentral
GGUUUCUUGAAUAAUAUUAGAAAUUUAACCUGCCCGCUGAGGUAUUGAAGGGCCGCAGUAUUUUGACUGUGCAAAGGUAGCAUAAUUAUUAGUCUUUUAAUUAAGGGCUGGUAUGAAUGGUUGGACGAGGUAAAAUCUGUUUUAUAAAAAUAAGUUGAAUUUAAAUUUUAAGUAAAAAGACUUAAAUAUAAUUAAGGGACGAGAAGACCCUAUAGAGUUUAAUAAACGAAUUUUUAAUUGAGUUUAUAAGGAAUUUUUAAUUAUUUUAAAGUUUAUUUGGUUGGGGUGAUUAGAAAAUAAGAAAAACUUUUCUUUAAGUAUGAAUAAGAAUUAGUAAAAUUUUGAUCCAUAAUUGAUGAUAAUAAGAUAAAAUUACCUUAGGGAUAACAGCAUAAUCUUUUUUGAGAGUUCUUAUUGAGAAAAAGGUUUAUGACCUCGAUGUUGGAUUAAGAUUAAAGUUGGGUGUAGAUGUUCAAAUGUUAGGUCUGUUCGACCUUUAAAAUCUUACA